This is a non-coding RNA of Podarcis lilfordi (Lilford's wall lizard), 74 nucleotides long. The record is from the annotation of a GenBank genome assembly. NCBI's taxonomy places the organism in Eukaryota, Metazoa, Chordata, Lepidosauria, Squamata, Lacertidae.
UUCCAGGUGGCGCAAUGGGUCAGUGCAUCUAGUUGUUAACCAGAAAGUUGGUGGCUCGAGGCCACCCAGGGAAG